Molecule: small nucleolar RNA, 87 nt
Organism: Rana temporaria (common frog)
Lineage: Eukaryota; Metazoa; Chordata; Amphibia; Anura; Ranidae
Product: small nucleolar SNORD12/SNORD106
Exons: 1
Source: RefSeq, a predicted model, not a curated record
GCUGGUCAUAUGAUGACAGAAUUUUUUCCCCGGCAGAUCGACCAUGUUGAUUACAUGCUCUAAGCCAGUUUUGUCUGAUGCACCAGC